GACGAACGCUGGCGGCGUGCUUAACACAUGCAAGUCGAACGGAAAGGCCCUGCUUUUGUUGCGUGCUCGAUUGGCGAAGGGGUGAGUAACACGUGUGUAACAUGCACUUGACUUAGGGAUAAAUUCUGGGAAAUGGGGCGCAUAUCCGAUAGGAGCUACUGCUCCAUGUGGGGGGUUGGUAAGAUUCGGCGGUUGGGGCUAGACUCGAGGCUUAUCAGCUUGUUUGUGAGGUAGUUGCGUACCAAGGCUUUGACGGGUAGCCGGCAUGGGAGGGGGACCGGCCACAUUGGGACUGCGAUACGGACCAGAAUCGUACGGGAGGCAGCAGGGGGGAAUAUUGCAGAAUGGGCGGAAGCCUGAUGCAACAACGCCGCGUGCGGGAUGACGGCUUUCGGGUUGUAAACAGCUUUCGCAUGUGACGAGGAGUGAGUGACGGUAAUGGGUAAAGAAGCAACGGCUAACUACGUG
This 468-nucleotide ribosomal RNA is filed under the name uncultured bacterium. RNAcentral's name for it is "partial 16S ribosomal RNA". It matches the Rfam family "Bacterial small subunit ribosomal RNA", at positions 28 to 507 of the family's 1533-position model. The record is from RNAcentral.